GGGUUUGGAUGUUAAGGGUCGGGAUUUUGAGUUGUUACCAUUUGGCAGUGGUAGAAGGAUGUGCCCUGCAAUCUCACUUGCCCUAAAGAUUACAGAAUUUGCACUCGCUUCUUUGCUUCAUGGGUUUGAAAUCGAAACCCCAACGGAUGACCCGAUUGACUUGAGUGAGACAGCGGGAUUAACCAACAAUAUGAGUGCCUUGCUUGAAGUCCUUCUCACUCCACGUCUUCCUGCUGAGUUAUAUUAAUAUAAUGUACUAAUUAGGCAACGUGUGCUAUGUUAUGUAUGUUAUUUGAGUGAUUGUUAUUUGUCGAGUCUUUUAUAUUUGUAUCUCAGCAUUGUUCCUGUACUAAUUAGGCAAAGUGUGCUAUGUUAUGUAUGUUCUUUGAGUGAUUGUUAUUUGUCGAGUCCUUUAUAUUUGUAUCUCAUCAAUGAACAAUGCUCACCAGUUUUAUUUGUUUUUCUAAAUAAACUUCUUCUAUCUUUCCUAUAUGUGUUUCAAGGGACAUAUUUGUGAGCAAACAUUCUAGCAUGUGGAAUUUGAGAAGAAAGAUUGUUGAAAACCGGACCAUUAUAGCCCCUAGAAAAAUUUUAAAUAAACAAAAACAUAAAUGGCCCCAUAUAUUCAUGGAAAAAGAUGACGAUACUGAACAGGUCUUAUACCCAUAAUUAACAAGCACGAGUCAUCUGUCUCACCCUGUGGCCAACAAGCAUGUGUGAUUAUCACCGCCUUAUAAUAUUAUAAGGUUCUUGGAACUACAAACAUCACCAAUUUUAAGAGUAAAUCGGGCAAGGUGGGCAUCACCUCUAUAUCUUUAUGUUAAUUUCUUAAUCAAUGAUUGAAAUUAGGCCUCAGAAAUGGUGCACGAAAUGAUUUCGAAAUUCACAAGCUUGUAGCUAAUGUGCUUCCUCCCCUGAUUGGUUGUCUGGCUUAUGGGUUGACCAUUUCGAUACAUGCAGGGAUGCCUUCUCAGGCUGCGAAGUCCAAGCAACAAAUUUGUACAAGAACGAGUAUUUCAAAUUUAUGGUUUGAAAGGAGAACAAAUAAAAUAUAUAUGAAAACAAAAAGAUAACAUAAUCAAAAUCAUUAUGUCUAAUUAACAUACCUCGUUUUUGUUAAAUUCUACGAGACUGAUCAGAUGAAUAAAAUGUAUCAAAAAGGGUGAUGUAAGGUUUUUGGAAUUGCACAGGGUUGCAGAGAGAAGGAAUGUUCUUAACAAAUGCAUUUCAUUCAUCACACCUCACACCAAACAUGUGUGCGGGUAUAUUACCAUUAGAGAAGAGAGAGAGUGAGGUAUUCUCUCUUUCCAUUACAACGAAAUCCAACCAUCCUUGUAAUCUACCCUAUAAGAUAGUUACAAGUGUCAACACAAAUCACUAACUCUAAGAUUACAUCUUAAUUGCACAUUUAGACUAUAAUUCAAUGGCUUACAUUCAAUCUGGAACUAAGGCUUAAUUAAAUACUAUUAACUACAUUGUAAAAGAUGAAGAAUUGGUACAAAGAAAGAUGAAGAUGAUAGAGAGAAAAACCAGAAAGAUUGUAUUGAUUAAAAUGGAGAAAAUGUAUACAAAAGAACUUUUAGAAAUGAUAGCUAUAUAAUCCCUUAUAUAACCAUAUAACCUAAUUACAAUAAUACCCUUCUAACUAUACUAACCAAUCUUAUCCUUAUGACAACCUACCAACACAUUUCAACUAACUAUAUUCUUCAUUACUAAGUAACCAUGUCAUCACUAAUGACUAUGGUUAAUACUCCCCCCUCAAACUGAACUUGGUGUAGCCAAGUGAAGGUUGAACGAGCUAGAACACUGAAACUGAUCUGGAACUGCAAUACCAAGAUGUCUGCAGGGGCUGUUGUCAUUCAUCAAUUCUGCCAUGUUGGCUAUUUCUCAUUUAUUGGUGGUGGUUUUAUGAUGGCACAGGAUGUUCCAAAGUACAUGAUGGUUGCGGGAGAAAGAGCUGUGCUUCGUGGUCUUGGUCUGAACAUACCCAACAAAUUUUCGACUGUGAAUUGAGAAGUCAUCGUCGACACUGCCAAGAAACUAAAUCUACCAAGGAGAAUGACACUCCCAAGAAACUAAACUACCACGGAGAAUGACACUCCAAGAAACUAAAUCUACCAAGGAGAAUGACACUCCAAGAAACCAAAUUACCACGGAGAAUGACACUCCAAGAAACUAAAUCUACCAAGGAGAAUGACACUCCAAGAAACCAAAUCAGCCAAGGAGAAUGACACUCCAAAGCACAACACAAAUCUCACACUUCUACUAAAAAUACCAAAUAAGGAGACUGACACUCCAUGAACACAAAUCAUACUGCAACUUAGGAGAAUGAAACUCCAAAUCAUACUGCAACUUAGGAGAAUGAAACUCCAAGAUUCAUAGAAAGAAUGACACUUUCUUCUUUAAAUCGACAAGAAAACUAUUACUUGCAGAGAUCAACACAUCAAGACCACAGCUUCACUUCAAUUAAACCUCGAAAGUACAUCAAAGACCACAGCUUCAAGAAAUAAGCGUUGCAGAUCACCAAACAAUUCCAAAUGACUGCUAUCAACACUUCGAUGAUCUAUCGCACAACCCAUAUACCAGAAUUCAUUUACCAAUUCAGAAGAACACAUAACCAAAAACCCAAAUCAAAUUCGAGAAAAGAAUCCAGAUGAAGAAAAUAUGGGCAAUUCGUCAAACACUUAGGCUGCACAUAGUCUAAACGUUCUGCCAUACCAGAAAACAGAUCACGGAUCAAAAUCACAGAAAAUCGAAUUCAGAAAACUGCUCUGAAAACACCACCAAGAUGAAUGAGGAAGUAGAUAAUCAACAGUGCAAAGAAAGCAAACUCUGCUGAAUCAUAUAUGCCAUCAUGUUGCAGCCACAGGAACUGCGGUCUCCUCGAGUUCUUCAGCCUUUCCCAGCAAAAUCGCCAACAGAGCCUUAAACACAAUCCGUCCAUCUUCGCCAUCCAGCUUCGAGACAACAGUAGAGGUGCUUAUGCUCUUCUCGACAGCAACUCCAUUGCUCUUGAGACUCUCAGCAAUUAUGAUCAUAGUAGGAAUAACCAUUCCCAAUGCAGAGAGCUCAACUGCAUUGUACUGCUUGAUGUACCUCUUGGCAAGAUUGCAGUAGAAGAAGAAUGGACGCUUGGUGCGCGAAAUGUGAAUCUGAUUCUUGCUCUUCAGCUUCUUUGUCUUCUAAGAACUUGAAUCUUGAAAACCCAGCUGUACGAAAACUCGCUUCUUCAAACCAGGAAGCUCCGGGAAACCCAGCUGUGGCUGUGCCAUUGACGGAGGGCGGUGGGGAUGAAGACCCACAAAACGGAUCUGGAAUGGGAAUCCGAGUCGGUGUCGAAGAACCCGUCGUCGAUUCUGAAAAUGAUGAAGAACCCAUCGUCAAGUGAUCUCAUUGAGGCACUCGUUCAGGACCUUCUUGUCGAUUACAGUCGUAUUGCUUAUCUGCUGGAGAGCGGAAGCACCGAAGGGCUUGACAGAAAAUUCAAGAAAAUCUGAAGAAACUAAUGAGAAAAGAAGUAAAACUAGAAAUAGACUAAUGAGAAGUGGAACCACCAGAAUCCAUAGCAUGAGCCUGGUGGCUCUGAUACCAUAUUAACUACAUUGUAAAAGAUGAAGAAUUGGUACAAAGAAAGAUGAAGAUGAUAGAGAGAAAAACCAGAAAGAUUGUAUUGAUUAAAAUGGAGAAAAUGUAUACAAAAGAACUUUUAGAAAUGAUAGCUAUAUAAUCCCUUAUAUAGCCAUAUAACCUAAUUACAAUAAUACCCUUCUAACUAUACUAACCAAUCUUAUCCUUAUGACAACCUACCAACACAUUUCAACUAACUAUAUUCUUCAUUACUAAGUAACCAUGUCAUCACUAAUGACUAUGGUUAAUAAAUACAUCACUAGCACAAACACUUACAUUCCAACACUCCCUUCUAAGUAGGGAUGGACACGGACCUGGCCGGGGUCAAAAUUGAAAGGACUGGAUGGGACCGGUUUGGAAAUACAAAGGAACGGGCCGGGGUGGGUUUGUGAUAUUUUAAAGUUAGAACUGGACCUAACCCAGCCUGUUUAAAAUGGGCUAUUCUUACGGGUCUCGAGGUCCAUUUUGUAUUUUUUUUUUUUUUGGUUCUCUUCUUCUUCAGCUCUCUCAUUUUAGGAGAUGUCGGAUCAUGGCAACAAGAAUGUGAGCCUUCUAAUUCUCUUAUUCUUCAUGUCUCUAGUUCCCAUUACCCUUUCAAUCCCUACAUAAAAAUUGGGGAUUCUCCCUUAAUCUAAAAACCCAUUAUCCCCAAAUCUCCAAACCCUCAAUCCUAAAAAUGGAAAUCACAGAAGAACAAAGAAAAUGAGCCGACCACCAACUUCUUCUCCACGGAUUGAAGAGCAUAGCCACCACCACCUUUUUUCACGGACGGUCUUCGACAAAAAGGUCGUCCCCUCCGUUCUUGCCUUCAAGGUCAGAUCCUCUGUGUCGCCAACGAGAUUGAGACUUGUUGGAGAUCUUUAAGAUUUGUUGGGGUUUUUCCAAUUUGUCUAAUUUUUGAGAUUUGAUGGGAGAAUUGGAUCGAUUUAGGUUUUAUUUUCAAUUGGGUUUUCUAGAUUUGAAAUGGGUGAUAAAGAUCUGUUUUAUUUUUUUAUUUUUUUAUUUUUUCCGUUUUCUGCUUUUCUGUUAAAUCAAUUUGGGUUUGUCAUCUUCUAUAGAUUUGUAUUAGAAAGUGAGUGAUGGCAGAGGAGGAGGAUGUUCUAUAUCCCUUCGGCAAUAUCACAGCCGGAAAAGGUUGUUAUAGAGCUCCUGCACUGUAGUCCAAUGGUUUAGAUUCAUAUGGGGUGUGGAAAUUAGUGUUUUGUAUUGGAUUGUCGGUUCGGGCCAGGGGGUCGUUUCUUGCAUGAUUUGAACCCCCCGCCCUGCUAUUAACCUCGACCCGCUCCGUGUUGAACUUUAAAAUUUUGGACCCGCCUUGUAUCCGUCCCGAAUCGCUUAGACCCAUCCCGACUCGUGGGUCCAGGACCCGUUUGCCCACCCCUACUUCUAAGUGUUGUGCUGAAAUUACUCCAAGUGCCUUUCUCAUAUUUCAAAUUGAUCCCUGGCCAAAGCUUUGGUAAAAAUGUUUGCCACCUGCCCUUCAGUUCUACAAUACAAAAAAUUAAUUUCUCCAUCUUGUAAAGCAUCUCAAAUGAAACGAAAUCUUCUAUUUAUAUGCCUUGUUUUGUGGUGAUGCACUAGAUUCUUGGUUAUUACUAUAGUAGAAGUGUUGUCACAUAGAAUUUAUGUUGGUUCAACUUGUUCCUCACCAAAAUCUGAUGGUACAAACCUCAACCAGAUUGCUUCUGUAGUAGCUUUUGUUGUAUUGACAUAUUCUGCUUCUGCUAUUGAUAGAGCCACACUACUUUGCUUGAUUGUUGUAUUGUCAUCCUCACUUCCUGACCAAUCACUAUCAAAAUAGCCAAUUAGCAUUGCUUCUUUCCCUUUUUUCAUAAGCUAUUCCAUUGUUAAAUGUGCCUUGAAUGUACCUAAUCACUCUUUUGGCUGUCCCCAUAUGCUUCUUGGUAGGAUUAUGCAAGAAUCUAGCCAACAAGCUUGCUAUAAACACAAUAUAUGGCCUGGUAGCAGUCAAAUAUAAAUGGCUUCCAACAAUUUGUCUAUAUAAAUUCUCCUCAGCUUGUUCACUUCCAUCAAUUUUAGAAAGCUUUUCAUUCACUACAAUAGGGGUAGAAACAAACUUGCAAUCCUUGAGACCAAACUUAUCCAAUAUUGUCUUUGCAUAUUUCUUAUGAUGCAAAAAAUGCAGGAUUCAGUUUGUAGAACACCUAGUCCCAGAAAUUGCUGCAAUAACCCAAGGUCAAUCAUUGCAUACUGCCUCAUCAUAUUAGUUUUGAACUUCAUAAUCAAUUCUUGUGAACUCCCUGUGUAGAUAAUGUCAUCUACAUAUAAGAAAACAAUAAGUAUUCUACUCUCAGAGGUUUUAAUGUAUAAUGUAGCCUCACUAGGACUUCUAUGAAAGUUAGCUUUGGUGAAAUAAGAAUUGAUUUCUUCAUACUAAGCUCUUGGUGCUUGUUUAAGGCCAUACAAUGCCUUCUUGAGUCUGUAGACUUUAUCUUCCUUGUUUUAAAUCACAAAACCAAGAGGUUGAUCAACAUACACUUCUUCUUGUAGCACUCUAUUUAGAAAUGUUGACUUCACAUCUAACUGGGACAAUUUCCAUCCUUUCUGUGCAGCUAAUGCAACAAGUGUUCUAAUUGUAUCAAGCCUUGACAUUAGGGCAAAUGUUUCAUUGAAAUCUACCAUGGCUUUUAAGAAUAGCCCUUUGCAACUAAUCUUGCUUUGUUAUUUUGCACAAAGCCAUCAAGGUUCAAUUUGGUUUUGUAAACCCAUUUGACACCAAUUACUGGUUUAUCAAAUGGUCUACUAACCAAUUCCUAUGUUUGUUUUUCUCUAAUUAUAAUUUCAUUUUCAAUGGCUUUUGACCAUGCUUCAUCCUUGGUUGCAUCUUCAAAGGUUUUAGGCUCAAUAAUGCAUAAGUUACACUUCUCAUACACUUCUGCAAUACUUUUGUACUUGAGUGGAGUAUGAUCAAUAUCAUGCGGACCUUUGGCUCCACUUGUCUUGUAACAUCUAUUUCAACAUGUGAUUCUUCAAAACUUCUAGUUGUCUCAUCAUGGAAUUCUGAAAUCUCAAUUUGAGCCAAGCCUGAUUCACAAGUCACUCCUUCAUUCUUUUUUGAUAUUUCAUUAAGUGAGACUGAAAUACUUUUUUCUUCUUGUACAUUCCAAUCCCAACAUGCUUCUUCAUAAACAGUACAUCUCUGGACAUAAUGACUUUUCCAGAUUCAAUGUUGUACAAUUUGUAACCUUUUUCAAACCUUCCAUACCCUAGAAAUAUACAUCUUGUGCUUGCCAAGUCAAAUUUCUACCUUUAUUAAUCUGGUACAUGUGAAUAACAUAGAGAACUAAACACCCUUAAGUGUCUAAUCCCUGGUUUUCUUCCACUAUAGGCUUCAAAUGGGGUUUUCUUGUCCAAACCCUUAGUUGCACAUCUAUUUAGAACAUACACAACAAUGUUAAUUGCUUCAGCCCAACAUUAAAAUGGUUAUCUUCUUUUCAAACAUCAAACACUUAGCCAUCUCCAGUAUGGUUCUAUUUUUCCCUUCAGCCACACCAUUUUGCUGUGGUGAAUAUGCCACUGUGAGUUGUCUCUCCAUUCCCAUUUCUUCACAAAACCUAUUGAACUUCAUAGAUGUAUACUCUCUUACUUUGUCAUUCCUCAGUUUCUUCAACUUAUAACUGCUUUGCAAUUCAACAGUAGCCUUAAAUUUCUUAAAUACACUGAACACCUCAUAUUUGUAUCUUAAGAAAUAGACCCAACACAUUCGAGUACAGUUAUCUAUGAAGGUAAGAAAGUACCUAUUUCCAUAUUUGUAAUAGUUUGCAUUGGUCCACAAACAUCAGUGUGUACCAGUUCCAGAGAGAUAAUAGCUUUACUCGUUGUCUCAUUUGGAAAUGCAUCCUUAUAAUGUUUCCCAAGAAUGCAACCUUCACAUACUUCUUUGGUGUUUUUGAUCUCUAGUAAUCCAAGCAUCAAUUCUUGCUCUUGAAGCAACUUCAAACUAUUCAUAUUCAGGUGUCUCAUUUUCCUAUGCCAAACCAAAGUUGAUUGACUCACAUUUGCCCUCAAUGCAAUGUGUAAGUCAGUUUGAAGUGAAGGCUCGAAGGAAAACUUUUGUUUCCUCUCGUUGGUACCUUGGCAACCAGAUUGGAGAAAGUGCAGUCAUCAUAAAUCUCAGCUUUGUUGUCUCCAAAAAUCAAAAAAUACCUAUGCUUUAUCAUUUGGCCCACACUAUGUAGAUUCUCAUUUAAACCAAAGACUAACAUGACUUCCUUGAUAUAUCUCCUGCCCAUUUUAGUCUCAACCACCAAGUUUCAUUUUCCAAUAACAUCAACUAGCUGCCCUGUGCCCAUUUCAACCUUUGCGGUCACAUUUCUUUCAAUAUCAACUAGCAUAUCUUCUCUAUCAGUUAUAUGAUUGCUACAACCGUUAUCCACAUACCACACACCUUCAAUAGACUUCAUAUUAGCUGCUUUACUAGCAUAAAACAUAGUUGGUGUAGAGGAAACCUGAUUUGCAUAAUUCAACUGCUGAACACUUUUCUUGUUGUUAUAAUCCUUUGUGCAAAACUCUUCAAUGAAGCAACAAUUUCUUGAACCUCAACCACAUCUAUAUCCUUUUAAUGCUUAAUAACAUAACAUAUAUAAUUAACAUUUUCUGCACAUUUCUCUCUGUAGGUAAUUCCUCUCCAUAGUUUCUCAUUUGAUUAACCUGAUCAAACAAUUUUGUAAGAUAAACAGACAAGGACUCAUCAUAUCUCAUUCUCGUAUAUUCAAAUUCCCUAAGAAGACUUUGCAAUUUAACACUUAUAACCUGUUUAUCUCCGUAAAAUUCUUAUUGUAAGACAUCCUAAGCUCCCUUCAAAGUUUCUUUAAGAGAGAUCCAAGGAAAUAUCUCAUCAGAGAUAGCUCCUUGAAUCAACCCUAAAGCUUUGGCAUCUUUCAUGAGCUUCUCCAUGAGAGUGAUCAUCACAUCACUGCUAGAUUCUUCUUUUUUCUUCUUCUUUGCAUUAGAUUCAUUAUCUCCCUUCGAAUCUGAGCACUCUAACACCUUUUCAACAAACUCCCACAAAUCGUGAGAUUUGAAAAUAGUUUCAUCCUUAUACUCUAGAAUUCAUAAUUAUCGCCAUUGAAGAUCAACGCCCUUAGCUCACUACCUCUAGAUCCCCCCAUGUUAGACACAGAUCACCCAGAAACUCAAGCAAUUUCUUCGAAUUUCAGACUGUUUUCUUCACAGAUUCGAACACCCAGUAUCAAAUGAUUGAACCUGGCUCUGAAGCCAUGUUAGAUUCUACGAGACUAUGAUCUCAGAUGAAUAAAAUAUAUCAAAAAUGGUGAUGUAAGGUUUCGGGAAUUGCAAAAAGUUGCAAAGAGAAUGAAUGUUCUUCACAAAUGCAUUUCAUUCAUCACACCUCACACCAAACAUGUGUACGGGCCAUUAAAGGAGAAAGAGAGUGAGAUAUUCUCUCUUUCUAUUACAAUCAAAUCCAACCAUCCAUGUAAUUUACACUAUAAGAUAGUUACAAGUGUCAACACAUAUCACUAACUCUAAGAUUACAUCUUACCUGCACAUUUGUACUAUAAUCCAAUAGCUUACAUUCAAUCUAAAAACUAAUGCUUAAAUAAAUACAUCUCUAGCACAAGCACUUAUAUUCUAACACUUUUCCCAACUAAAUUUUUUAUGUGUUUAAGAACAUGUUACAAGAGAUACAGAAAAAGAGAGAUAUAUAUACAAGGCAAUAACUAGUUUACCCUAAUACCCAAGUUGAAGGCUCAUUCCAUUAAAAUUCCAAGUGGGAGUCCAACAAUGUAGUAGCAGAAAAGAUUUAUAUGUGCCACCCAUGCUUGCCAUCCCGUUCCCACUGCUACUCAUGUUCAUUGUAAACCCCAUAAAAAUUUGGUCAUGGUCAGUAGAACGAACUUGAUAAAACAUGAUGAACGUUAUUAAGUAUAAGGUUUUUUAGCUAAAAUGGUCCCUGAGAUUUGCAUAACACAUCACUUUGGUCCCUGACAUUAAAAAUCAAUAGAAAUGGUCCCCGAGAUUGUCCACCAUCCAUUAUUUUGGUCAUUCCGUUAAAAACUCUGUUAAGUGUCUCAGAGCUCUUGGCCGAAAGUUUGGGCAAUUUUCAAAGCUUCGUAACUCAAUCGUUCUUAACCAAAUUUGACCCUUAAUAAAUCAAAACGAAGAUAGGAAAGUGUAGAACAAGAUUAUACCUAUUUGAAAGUCCAAUUGUUGCUGGAGAUGGCUGGAAAAUAGCUUGAAAGGUGAUUGGUACCUGGGAAAACUUUAAACCUCGUCGGAAACAAGGCAAACUUUAAACGUUCAUAACUUCUUCAAUACUCAACGAAAUCGAGUGAUUCAAAAGAAAAAAUCAUACUUCUUGAUGGGACAAAGAGAAUGGUACCUUUAUUGAUGGCUAACUCGUUGUGGUUUGGCCAUAAAAUGGCUUGAAAGUGGCUAUCUUGGUCUCGAGUUAGCCAUUUUCGAGCCAUUUUCUAGCCAAACCAUGGGGAAUUAUCCAUUGAGAAAAGGUACCAUUCUAGUUGUCUUGUUGAUAAGUAUGAUUUUUGUUUUUGAAUCACUCGAUUCGUUGAGUAUUGAAGAAGUUAUGAACGUUUAAAGUUUACCUAGUUUUCGGCAAGUUUUCCAAUUUUCCCUCGAACCAGUCACCUUUCAAGCUAUUUGCUGGCCAUCUUCGGCAACCAUUGGGCUUCUAAAUAGGUUUAUUUUUGUUCUACACUUUCCUAUCUUCAUUUUGAUAUAUUAUGGUCAAAUUUGGUUAAGAAACGAUUGAGUUACGAAGCUUUGAAAAUUGCUUAAACUUUCAGCCAAGAGCUCCGGGACACUUAAUGGAGUUUUUAAUGGAACGACCAAAAUAAUGGAUGGUGGACAAUCUCAUGGACCAUUUCUAUUGAUUUUUAAUCUUAGGGACCAAAGUCAUGUGUUAUGCAAAUCUCAUGAACCAUUUUGGCUAAAAAUCCUAAGUAGAAUUUUGAUGUCCAAAAGGUAAGACAUGUGAUUAACUUCUUCAACAACAUCAUUGCUGGUGGUGGAUAUGUAUGUGAUUAUAAGUACACAAAAAAAGACACCAACCAUGGUCGAUUCAAUUACAGAAACCAUCGUUGCAUACUAUGCUGCCUUAUAGUUUCCAGCUCCUAGUUCAUUUGCAACUCUUACUCUGUAAAUUCAUAAAAUAAAUUCCAAAUGAAUGCUAGUGCUUGUACUAUGUCAAAUAACUCUACCAAGUACAAAAAAACUGUUGAUUUCAGUAUUUCUUGCCUCAAUAUUUUUAGUUUCAUUAUUAAAGUGAGAGUAAUUUGGAAACAGUAUAGAAAUGAUACCUCGUUCCAGCAAAGAAGGCUAGAGGAAUCAUGAUCUCCCACCCAUUAAUAGUCAUGCUGCAGAAUAUAGACCCAAUCAUAGCAAUAAUUAGCUAAUAUAGUUCUUCUUUUGUAUUAUUAUUAACGAACGGAUGGAACCGCCCGAGGGGGGGGGUGAAUUCAAAACUGUUACAUGAGGACGGAAAAGUUUGAAUCGGGGACACAAGGGUGGAAUUUAAGUCAGCGCCUUACACACUAGGGUUGGAUCACAUGCAGCUAAAAUAGUCAUGUUAAAACUGAUGAGUCAAUAGUUUACCCUAAUCUUAUUAUCUUAGUAUUAAUUUAUUGAUUAUUUUGGUAAGAUUUUGAUACUUUGAAUUAUAUUUCUGUAAGACAUUCAAUUUUCUCUUGAGCGUAAAGUAUACAAACGGACGAAUUUUAUAGUUUUUUCAAUUGGAGGAUGUUUGUGUAUCUUUCAAGAUGAUUGUAUCAAAGUUUCAGAUUUUUCUACCAAGCCGUUUGACUGUGGCAACGAAAUAAAGGCCCAGCGCGCAGCUUUUCCAGAUUCAUGCUCCUGAACAUUUUGAGUAUUUGGGAGAUCAAGAUGGCAUAUUUUGAGGAAGAUUGCUUCUGAGGAUUUGUAGGGGACGAGUUAAGCUUUCAAAAGAGACAUUUUGGGACCAAAUCAGAGUUUAUUUGGUUAGUCAAAAGUCUGAUUUUCUGAGAAAUCCGAAUUUCAAUUAUAUUGGCUGUUUUAUUAUUUUAUUAUGUUUCCUAGUAUUAUUCUAAGACCUUUUUUUAGGUAGGGUUUUAUUUUGUAUUAGUAUAAAUAAGACUAUUUAGCCAUUAGGGAAAGAAAUGCAUCAAUUCAGAGAACUUAGCUAGGCUUUAACAAUUUUUACCUACAAGGUGUUUUCUAUCUAUGUUCUUAAUAAUAUUUUGUUUUAUGGUUGUUCGUAAUUAAUUUUCGUUUGGUAGGAUGAUGCCUUGAGCCUUAGUAUGAAUAUGUAGUUUUUAUUUAAUUGCUUUAGAUAGUAUGCAUGCAUACUUUGAAUUAUUAAUCACUAUGUUUAAACUGUCUCUAUAUCUUAAUGCUUAAUUACUAUUAGGAUGUUUAGAUAAGUAAUUUGAUGCUAUUCGGUCGGAAUGCCACCGGAGGAUUGAGUAUUACUUCUUGUGAUUGAUAGUUAUAAGUAGGGGUGGAUUUUUUUGCCAAAUUGCUGUGCCAACCGAAUUGCCAACCGUGCCAUACCGAUUUUGUGCCAAAUUUUUUGUACCAAUCGGUAAUGGUACGGUAUUGUACCGUACCGAAAUUUCAUGGUACGGUAUUGGUAAUGGAUACCAUUACCACGGUAUUACCGUACCAUACCGAAAAUACAAUAUAAUUUAUAAUUUAUAGUUUAUAUAAUACAUAAUUAUAUAACACAUAUUUAUAAUAUUCCAAUAAUUUGAAAAUAAAACCCUACUUAUAUUAGCAUUGUUGUUGGUGACUUUGAUCUCUUAAAAUUGUGGAAAUCAAACACAAAAGAGUUCCUAAUUCUUUCACAAAUAGCCAAAAUAUCUUUGUAACCCCCACUUCUUCUGUUGCUAGUGAAAAUGCAUUUAGUCUAGGGAGGAGGGUUGUGAACCCUUUUAGGGUAUUCUUGACUCCUAAAAUAAUUGAGGCACUAGUGUGUACUAGUGGUUGGCUUAGGGCAGGUGAAGUAAACUUCUACAAGGACCAACGGAAGAUAUGCUUCAAUUUUACAAGGAAAUAGAAGAAGAGAAAACAAGAAAGAUAUGCUUUAAUUUUUUUAGUAAAUUUGUUAUUAAAUGGUUUUCAACUUUAAUUCUUCUUGCUACUAAUUAAUAUGUUUUCUUUGUUUGUAAUGUAAGCUUGAUGCAAACUCAAUCUUCUACAAGUUCAAUGCCUCCUCCAAAAGUUUCGACAUCUCAAGCUUGAAUAACUGAUCAAUGAAUUCUCCAUCUUGAAGUUUACUUCCAAUUUUCAUUUGGUUUGAAACUUUAAUUUCUAUUUGGAUUGUUAACUUCUAUUUGUUUUGGUUCGUAACUUCUAUUUGGAUUGUAAGCUUAAUUUUCAUAAUGAAUCUUGAUGCUUCAUUUGAAUUAUUAUGUGUGUGAAUUGUGAAUGAUGAAUAAUAGAUGAAUUUAAUCUAUAAUGUAUAAGAUAAAGGUACAAAAAAAAAAGUUUUGCCCUUGAAUUGGGUUAAAAAAACAAAAACAUUUUGUCCCAAAACAAAAUGGCAAUUACCAUUGCCAUACCAUGCCAACCAAACUUUUGGCAAUACCGAACUUCGGUAUACCGAAAGUUUGGUAUGGUAAUGGUAAUAGAUUUUACCAAACCGAAACUUUGGUACGGUAAUUGGUACAAGGGUUUUGGUACGGUAACCGUACCGAACCCACCCCUAGUUAUAAGUUCACCUAGGGCUAAUGCCAUGUCUUAGGGGUUGUAUGGUUUUUCAAAGGGUUUUCACAAAGUGUAAUGAGUCAUGCAUGUUUAUAUUUUAUCUAAAUGCCACAGACGGAUUGCAUGUUUGAUAUACGUUCUAGCUUGAGUGCCACAAGUAGAAUAUGCAUAAGGAAAACCUAAGCUUCAAAGUUGUAUGUGUAAUUCAUAAGUAAUUGGUAAAACUACAUAAGAUUGUUAAGGUGACGGCAAAAUCCUAGUGUCCUUUUAUCAUUAUUUUCUAAGAUUGUUCCCUUUCAAAUUGGUUUCUUUAAUUGCGUUUUUUUAUUUAUUAAAAAUCGCUUUUGUUAUUUUAAAAUCCAAAACCAACAUUUUCCAAACUUUGUUUUAAAUAGUUAAUUAAAAACUAGUUUAAAUACAAAUUAUUCAAUCAGUUCCUAUGGAAAUGACCUUACUUGAGCUGUUAUACUACAAUAACAUUGUACUUUUGUAAGUAUUUUUAAGUGUUAUUAUUCCUACUUUUGCAGGUGGUAAAAAUGCUAUAAAAAACAAAAGUUUAAAUAUGGUUAAUUUUUCACCGUAAAGUUUUUGAGGUUUUCAACUUUGAUCUUUAAACUAUGUUUUGGAGAUGAUCUAAAAUUUUAUUUUUUACAUAACCUUAAGCGCAUAAAUGCUCUUAACCACUUGAGCUACAUGAUCCUAACAAAUUAUUAUUUUUUAAGUUCUUAGCGAUGUCAAAUAAGUGCGUUUGGUAGAAAAGCUGAUGGUUUAGCACUUCCUAACCUCAUUUCCUAAAUUUCUGAAAUUCUCAACAACAAUUUAGAACAUCGCACUUUCUAACCACUUUUACAGUAAUAUCUUUAAAACGAGGUCAGCUACUAAACAUGUAUCCAUCUCUAUCAAUUUUUGUUGAUUUUUUUAUUGAAUACAAAGGUCGAAGCCAGUGAUUCUUGCUUUUGAUUUCGUAGGUUCUUGAAGAAUUGAAGGUUGAGUGUUUGCUAUUGUUGUGGCUAUUAUCAUGGCUUCUUUUACCGUUAAAAUUGAAGGGUUAUUGGGAUCACAAUUACACUAAGUGGGCAUCUCAGUUCAAAUCUGUGUUGAAAUGUUACAAACUCUUUGGUCAUUUUGAUGGAUCUGUAGUUUGUCCUCUAAAGUUUGUUAUGAAUACUGAAAUUGGGGUUACAAAGCAAGUAUCUGAGGUUUAUCAAGAAUGAGAGUCCACUGAUUUAGCUUUGUUGAGUCUCUUCUGAUGAUGCUAUAAAGCAUGUAAUUGCGUGUAGAACAGCUGGAGAUGCUUGGUCUAAUCUUGAAGAAAGAUAUGCUUCUAUAUCUAAAAUUGAUGCCGAUCACUUAAAAACUGAGUUCCAUACAAUUCAAAAGCAGAGUGAUUUAGUGAAUAAAUAUCUUCUCAUACUUAAGUUUAUUAGGGAUUACUCACUGCAACUGGAAAAUUCAUUUCUCACAAUGAUGUUAUCAUUGCUACUUUAGCUGGAUUGCCCAAUGAAUAUGCUACCAUUAGAACGGUAGUUUUUGCAAAAGAUACCUCUAUUUCUAUGAAAUAAUUAAAAGCUUUGCUUCUUGGUGCUGAAAGAGAAAAUAACAUUGCCAUAAACUCUUUAUCUGAUAGUAUGUCAGCUUUAUACAUGCAUGGUGGUUCUAGGUCUUCAAGGAGUUCACAAUUUAAAAAUGGUCCAUCUAUUUCACAGUCUUCUGAUGUUGAAUCUCCUAGCACUGGAGGCAGGAUUACUGCAGUUCCAAUGGUUCCUUAUGGUGCUCAGCCACCUGGAUUUCCUCCAUAUUUUCCUCAAUCAUCACAGGAUUAGUUGCCUUUCCUUCCUACACCAACUUUUGGUUUUGGAACUGGUAUUGUUGGUAAUUGGAGUUCUGCAUCUAGACAAUUUUUAGUGUCUGGAGCUUCACAUUAUAAUGAGGACAACAACAACAAAGAUCUAAUAAUGGAGGCCAACAUAAUUAUAAUGGGGGUCAUAAGUCUAACUACAGAGUUAAAAAUUUCUAAUGGUUAUAGGCAAAAUAAUGGAUGGUAUGGAAAAUACAAAAUCUAGAACAACAAUGCAGCCUGAGUGUCAAAUUUGUCAGAGAAUGAGUCACAGUGACCUGCAUCAAAUUGUUUCUUUAGGAAUGCUCAAAGGCCUUCUAUUGGGUUCUCUACCAAGUGUCAGAUUUGUGGUGAAAAGGGACAUAGUACACUUGAAUGUUAUCAGAGAAGAAAUUAUUCUUAUCAACCCAGGGGACCACUAUCUUCUCUAGUUCCAACCUUCAUUGCAACUCUACCAAUGGCUCCAAUUUUUCCAAUUCUCUUUCAUCAGCAAGGCACAUCUAACGCUUCAUCUCCUUUUGCAGCACAGUAUUCCUAUAAAGUUCUUGGAUCUACAGUCUAUGCAACACCUCCAAAUUCAUCUGAUAAUGAUAAAGGUUCUUGUUUUAUUAAUGCUAUGGCUGCACAUAAUUCUUCAUCAUUUUCAAAUUCUUCUACAUAGAUUUUAGAUACAUGGGAAUCUCAUCAUAUGACUUCUGAUUUGACAAGCUUGAAUAAUGUCACUCAAUUUGAAGGUGUUGAGACAAUAAAACUUGGCAACGGUCAAGGUUUUCCAGUUGACAAUAUUGGUUCUACUUUGAUAAACACUCCAUCAGGUUCUCUUAUUUUGAAAUAAGUGUUACAUAUCCCUUGUAUUGUUGUCAAUCUUAUGUCAGUUACUUAACUUUGCAAGAACAAUAAAUGUUGGUUUAUAUGUGAUGAUAACUAGUUCAUUGUGCAGGACAAGGUAACAAAGAGAUCUUAUACAAAGGAAGGAUAAAACAUUGUUUCAGAUUCCUGCUUAAAAUUUUUCUUCUACGUUAACUUUUCCUGGACAGUUGAUGAAAUCUUUAGUGUGGCAUCACAUACUGGGACAUCCAACAAAUGAAGUCAUGUCUGUUAUGUUAACUAAGUCUCAAAUUUCUCAUGCUAUAGAUGAUGUGCAUAAAAUGUGUACUGCUUGUAUUUAUAAGAAAUAGAUAAGUAACCUUUUUUCUGUUGAUUUUACUAUAUGUGUUCUUCCUUUUGAUCAAGUUCAUACUGAUAUAUGGGGACCAACACAUGUAUAGUCCAUUGAGGAGUAGACAUAUGUGGAUAUUCCCACUAUUCAAUAAAUCUGAAGUGUUAUCUACAUUGUCCAAUUUUACAAGUUUGUUGAAGUUUAGUUUGGUAUCAGUAUUAAAUGUUUAUUAUAUGAUGGAGGUGGUGAGUUUACUAGUAAAGCUUUUAAGGAAUUCAUCGCUUUAAAAGGUAUGACUCAUAGAGUUUCAUGUCCUUAUACACCUCAACAAAAUAGAUUAGUAGAAAAAAAAAUCUCACAUUGUUGAAACUACCAUCACAUUGAUGGAUGCUGCAAGAUUAUGUCAAAAUUUCUGCUAUCAUGCUUGUGCUCAUGCAAUAGUUUUAAGGCUAAAUAGCCAAAAUGGUCCCUGAGAUUUGCAUAACUCAUCACUUUGGUCCCUAACAUUUCAAAUCAAUCAAAGUGGUCUCUGAGAUUGUCCACCAUCCAUCAUUUUGGUCAUUCCGUUAAAAACUCCGUUAAGUGUCCUGGAGCUCUUGGUCGGAAGUUUGGGCAAUUUUCAAAAGCUUCGUAACUGAAUCGUUUCUUAACCAAAUUCGACCCAUAAUAUAUCAAAAUGAAAAUAGGAAAGUGUAGAAUAAGAUUAUACCUAUUUGGAAGCCCAAUGGUUGCCCGCGAUAGCCAGAAAAUAGCCUCGUCCGAGGGAAAAGUAGAAAACUCGUCGGAAACUGGAUAAAUUUAAACGUUCAUAACUUCUUCAAUACUAAACGGAAUCAAGUGAUUCAAAAACUAAAAUAAUACUAAUCGACGAGGCGAAGAGAAUGAUACCUUUUUCGACGGCUAACUCGCCGUGGUUUGGCCCGAAAACGGCUUGAAAGUGACCAUUGACAGCCACUUUCGAGCCUUUUUCCGGCCCCAACACUGCGAGUUAGCCAUAAAAAAAAGGUAUCAUUCUCUUCGUCUCGUUGAGAAGUAUGAUUUUAGUUUUUGAAUCACUUGAUUUUGUUGAGUAUUGAAGAAGUUAUGAACGUUUAAAGUUUACCCAGUUUCUGGCGAGUUUUCCAGUUUUCUCUCGGACCAGUCAACUUUGAGGCUAUUUUCCGGCCAUCUCCCACAACCAUUGGGCUUUGGAAUAGGUAUAAUCUUAUUAUACACUUUCCUAUCUUCAUUUUGAUAUAUUAUGGGUUGAAUUUGAUUAAGAAACGAUUGAGUUACGAAGCUUUGAAAAUUGCCCAAAUUUCCGGCCAAGAGUUCCAGGACACUUAAGGGAGUUUUUAACAGAAGGACCAAAAUGAUGGAUGGUGGACAAUCUCAUGGACCACUUUGAUUGAUUUGAAAUGUUAGGAACCAAAGUGAUGAGUUAUACAAAUCUCAGGGACCAUUUUGGCUAUUUACCCUAGUUUUAAUAAAUAGGAUGCCAAGUAAAGCUUUUCAAAUGCACUUUUCUUAUUGUGCUCUUUUUUUUAUAAGCCUCUACCCUUUCAAGAAUUAAAUAUAUUUGGCAACUAUUUAUCCUUAUCUAAGGCAUUACAAUGAUAAUAAGCUUCAACAUAUGACUUAUGUGAGCCUAUUUUUGGGAUAUGCCUCAGGUUAUAAGGGUGUGAUAUGUUAUAAUUUUCAAUCCAAGAAGUUAAUUCUAUCAGGACAUGUGCUUCAUGAUGAUUCCAAUUUUCUAACCAAAUGUGUUAAACAAAUGGCUCCAGAGGUUGUGAAAGUUGUACUUACUUUAUCCACUCCUCCAAUAGUUGUGAAUGUAGUUUCUCUUGGUAUACAGCAUAACUUGUCUAAUGGGGAUUCAAUCUAUGAUUCCAUUUCUUCUCUACAUGAAAUUCAUAAUGCAUCUAGUUUCAACUUUACUCUGGUAAAUGCUCAUUCUAGGAAUAGUUUUGAUACUGCAAUAUAUCAAUCUGAAGCAGGGUCUUCACAGGGAUCUGAAACAUCACAUUCUUAGGUUUCUCCUAAAAGUCAAGAUCAGUUCCAACCUUUGUUACCUACUUAAUCUUGCACAGCUUCAAGUACUCCCUCCUAUCUCUUCUCUAGAUGAUUCUACUUAAUGCAGUUAUACCAGAUCCAAUAUCUAGUAGUAAUCAUCCUAUGCAAACAAAGUGACAAUUAGGGGUUAUUGAAAAGAAGAAUUAUGUUGCAUAUUUGGCUUUGUUUCCUAAGCUUAAGUCCUAAAAGAUUGAUGAGCAUGAAGAUUCUUGUAUUGUUGGGUAUUCAUUUAUAGUUGGUAUUAAUGCUUGUGAUGAGUCAAAACUUUAAGAAUUGUUGCUUCUAAUUUUCAUUAGCAGCAAGCAAUGCAAUAUCAGUUUGAUUCAUUGAAAUUAAGCUCAAGGAACAUGGAAUUUAAUUCCUCCACCAGCUAAUAGGUCUAUUAUUAGCAGUAAAUUGGUCUUCAAGAUCAAGAAAUAUCCUUAUGGGAAUAUUGCUAGAUAUAAGGUAAGGUUGGUUACUCAGGGGUUCACUUAAGAGCAUGUUUUGGGUUAUUCCAAAACCUUCAAUCCAAUCAGUAAGGUUAAUUUUCACUCUUGCUACCUGUCACAAAUGGGAACUUAGAUAGUAGAAUCAAAAUACCUUUUUGCACUGAGAUUUACAAGAAGAUAUCUAUAUGAAACAACCAUAAGGGUUUAUUGUAGGGGUGGGCGCGGUGCGGUUUCGAGUGAAACCACAACCGAAACCGAAACUUUUUGCGGUGCGGUGCGGUGCAGUUUUGAAGCCAAAACCGAAAUGAAACCAACCGUUUGGUUCGGUUCGGUGCGGUUUCAAACGGUUUCGGUUUGGUUUUUGAGAAAAAAAAUGUACAAUUUAAAAUAUACACAUAUUUAUGCAUAAGACGGUCUUAUUUUCCUUGUAUAUUAAUUAAUAAAUAUGCAGCAAAAUUGCACCAAAAACAGCAACAACAAUGCAGCAAAAAACAGCUCCAAAACUGCCAAAAAAAUGCAGCCAAACUGCAUAAAAAACGCAGAAAAAUAGCAGCAAAACAACACCAAAAAACUGUACCAAAACUGCAGCAAAAAACUGCACUGAAACUGCCGCAAAAAACUGCACAAAACUGCACAAAAAACAGCAGCUACACAGCAGCUAAACUGCACCAAAAAACUGCACAAAACUGCAACAACAAUGCAGCAAAAAACAGCGCCAAAACUGCCAAAAAAAUGCAGCCAAACUGCAUAAAAAACACAGAAAAACAACAGAAAACAGCAGCAAGACAACACCAAAAACUACACCAAACCUGCAGCAAAAAACUGAAGGGAAAAUCUGCUCACGAGAGUAGAAGGUAUAAUUGUUGAUUGCAAGUAGAAAUCCUAGUUGGGAGCAGCCUCUCCAUAAAUGGGGGUAAGGCUAGCCGACAUUCACCUCUCCCAGACCCUGCGUAAAGCGGGAGCCUUAUGCACUGGGUACGACCUUUUUUUUUUUAAAGUAGAAAUCCUAGAUGCUUUACUGAAUGGAACCUCAUAUGCAUACUUCUUGCAUUGUUCUAGUGGUAAUCUAGUCCCACAAAAAAAUCUAAUCCCACAAAUAUCAAAAGUAAACCUACUUUUAACGAUACGAAAGAAAGCUUGCGUCUCCAACCAACCUACUAAGAAAACCACACAAACUUCACAACAACGACGCUUCCAUAAUUGCGUUUCAACAUUCAUCUGGUAAUUUCUAUGGACAGUUCAAGAACUUGAAGAAGUUUUACAUCAAUCUUACAGGAGAAAUCUACGCGAGAAGCGACUUUAAUUCCCCGAUGCUUAAAGGUCUAAGAUGAAACACAAAUAAUUGAGAUGAUAAAUGUCUACAUUCUACAGAGGAAUACUGCAGCAGUUGUUAGUUGGCAAACAACUUAAUAAACAAGGCGAUCAAUCUUUUGAGUAGCAACAACGAAUCAAAGUCUACAGCAAAAUUUCCAAAAAGCUGAUCCAGAUUCAAGGGUGAGCAUGAACUAGAAUGGAAGAACACAAAAAUCCAUUUCAAAUCUUGAUGCAAGAAACACGAAGGAAUCAAAGACCUAGACAUAACCAAGCACUAAAUUAGGAUAUUCAUGACAGACACAGCCUCGUGGGCAAUCCGCCAUUCGGAUACUCGUCCUCCUCCUCGGUGCAAAUAAAUUCAGAAAAUGGAAGCAAUAAAUUCGAAAAUGGAAGCAAUAAAUUCAGAAAUUAUCUUUCAAGACCCAAACUUCUUUUUAAGACAAAUAACUAACAAAUAACUAAGAAAUUGUCUUACCAUAUUAGCUGGUAAGCAAUGACUCAGUGAGGUCGCAAGGCAAGGCAGAGGCGGAGAUGCAGAUUGCAGUCAGGCAGUUGCCGAUCACUUCCACCGCUUCCAGAGAUGCAAGCAGGCAGUCGCUCGCAGAGGCAGACGCAGAGAUGCAGAUUGCAGAGAUGGAAGCAGAAGCAGCCUGGUGAUCGCAGAGGAUAAACAGAGAUGCAGAUUGCAGAGAUGGAAGCAGAAGCAGUCGCUCGCAGAGGCGGACGCAGAGAUCGCAGAGGCGGACGCAGAGAUCGCAGAGGUGCAAACCCAAAACCGCAAAACCAAUCUAUAAGCUAGUUGAACUAAUUAAAAAUUAAAAAGUUUAAAAUAUAACAUUUAUUUAUUAUAUGAUGUGGUUUCGGUUUCAGUUUCGGUUUCGGUGCGGUUUUGAAAACCCAAAACCAAAACCAAACCGUUUUGUGUGCCGCGGUUCGGUUUUGAAACCGAAACCGUUUCAAAACCGCAAAACCAAACCGUUUGGUGCGGUUUGAUUCGAUUCGUGUUUCAGUUUCGGUUUUCGGUUUCAAGUGCCCACCCCUAGUUUAUUGAUUCAAAGUGUCCUAAUCAUGUGUGUAAAUUGGUUUUGUCCUUAUAUGGGCUUAAACAAGCUCCAAAGGCUUGGAUUUACAAGAAGAUAUUAAUUAUGCAUAAUUAUUGAAUAUUUUGCAAGUUUGAAAUGCCAUGACGUUUUCGAGAACGUUAAUUUCUCUGUUUACCUCCACAUUGAUUGCAAGUUUCAAAUGCCAGAAGAUUGAACAAAAGGCCAAACAGUGGGAUACACUCAUAGUGCGCCAAUGAUACUCAUAUAUAUGUUUUAUAUUGGAAAUAAUGGUUCAUAUCCUUUAACCCGUAUCUUCCAGCAAAUAAUUAUCGACUAUAAUAGAAAACUUUUAACCCCACAAUGGUGCGUCAGUCAGAUAAUAUAUGUUUUAUAUUGGAAAUAAUUGUUCAUAUUUUAACCGUGUUAUCCCGCAAAUAAUUAUCGACUUUCAUCACACCCUUUAUUUAUUCAAGCACAUAUUUCGAUAAUACCAAAUCUUCAAUAUCGAAUCCAAUUGAAAGACAUCUAUCUAUUCGUGGAGAUGGAUUAUUUUUACCUCUCAUAUGAUCUGGUGGUACCUCUCAUGGCAGUCACAUUGGCCUUGUCACUAUUUCUCUACUCCCUGUUAUGGAAAUAUGGAGGGGUAAUCCGAAAAGCGCCACCGGAAGCCGGUAGAGCAUGGCCAAUAAUUGGCCACCUCCACUUAUUAUCAAGCUCAACUGAACCAGCCCAUUUGCUAUUCGGUAACUUGGCCGACAAGUAUGGACCCAUUUUCACUAUAAAGUUCGGAGUGAAGAGAGCUAUCGUCGUCAGUAGUUCCGAAAUAGCUAAGUGCUUCAAAACCAACGACAAAGUGUUUGCAAGCCGUCCAAAAUCUAUAGCCGGAGAAGUUCUGGGCUACAACUAUGCCUUUUUCCCCUUCAGUCCUUAUGGCGACUACUUUCGCCAAAUACGCAAGAUAGCCACACUGGAGGUGCUAUCCCAGACCCGCAUUGAGAAGCUAAAACACAUUCGGGAAUUUGAAGUGAAGGCAUCCAUGAAAGAAAUGCACCGACGAUGGACAGUGAACAAGAAGAGUAGUGGUUCGACUAAGGUGUUGGUGGAGAUGAAAGAAUGGCUUGCGUUUACAAAUGAAAACGUUAUAUUUAGGAUGAUUGUCGGGAAAAGUUUUCUGGAAGCUACUGACUCGAAGUACUCUCAAGGAUGUUAUUUGGGUCGGAAAACGUUUUUGGAAUUUCUUCGAUUAAGUGGGACUUUUGUGAUUUCGGAUUCAAUUCCGUUCCUGAGGUGGUUGGAUUUGGGUGGACAUGAGAGAGCUAUGAAGAAGAUUGCAAAGGAGCUAGAAGAAGUGUUCAAGGGAUGGCUAGAAGAGCAUAAGCACAAGAGGAAGAUUUCGGGCAGACUGAUGGUUGAUGAGCUUGAUUUCAUGGAUGUCAUGCUUUCAAUCCUUGGUAACAAUGAAGUUACUACAUCCUAUGACGCUGAUACUAUCAACAUAGCUACUUCCCUGGUAAUUUUUCACAUACACGUUAUAUUGGUUGAAAUUGAACAUGCAUCUUAUAUUAUUAAAGCAGGUUGUCUUGCUUGUGAAGCCUAAUGGCCACACGUACUUCAGGUCACUUGACUUGUGUUGUCUAUAUGCUAGGCUUUAAAAUUCACCACACAUGAGGAGUGAGUAUUGAAAGUAUUAAACCCACAUCAAGAAAAUGAGGGAUCUUACAUGUGCUUAUAAGUACUACUUACUAUACUGUCGAUUGGUUUUAUGAUGGAACCUCAACUUUCUUCUACCAUGAUGGUGCCUGAUCUGAUAGCUCUUAUUCAUUCUGAGAAAUUCUUGAGUGUGACGGUAAAACCACUUUCAAGUUCACUGAAUUGUUAGACGUGUAUACAUACAUGAAAAUCAGGUUAGAUGGGAGAAAGUGAGUAGAAGGAGAAGGAAAGAGGAAAAGAGUGAGAGAAAGUUAGGGUGGGGAAAAAAUUGUCUUAAAUUGUAAACUAUGUUGGCGUAGAAGAUUGUUGAUGCCAUAUACUUGUGUUUAUGUUACUUGUUUUGCAGACUUUUCUAUUAGGAGGUGCAGAAACUACGACUGCGACAAUGUCAUGGGCUCUAGCUUUACUUGUGAACCACCCUGAAACACUAAAGAAGGUCCAAGAAGAACUAGAUGAAAAUGUUGGUAAAGAUAGACAAGUGAAGGAAUCAGACACAGACAAAUUGGUCUAUCUCCAAGCUGUUAUCAAAGAAUCAAUGCGAUUGCACCCUGCUGCACCACUUGCAAUACCACACCUAUCCACUAGCGAUUGCAUGGUAGGUAACUACCACGUCCCAGCUGGCACACGCCUAUUGGCUAACAUUUCAAAGAUCCAUAGAGACCCAAAUGUGUGGUCAGAGCCAAACGAAUUCAAGCCAGAACGAUUCCUCACAACCCAUAAGGGCUUGGAUGUUAAGGGUCGGGAUUUUGAGUUGUUACCAUUUGGCAGUGGUAGAAGGAUGUGCCCUGCAAUCUCACUUGCACUAAAGGUCACAGAAUUUACACUCGCUUCUUUUCUUCAUGGGUUUGAAAUCGAAACCGCAACGGAUGACCCGAUUGACUUGCGUGAGACAGCGGGAUUAACCAACCAUAUGAGUGCCUUGUUUGAAGUCCUUCUCACUCCACG
Molecule: long non-coding RNA, 23805 nt
Filed under: Malus domestica (apple)
Lineage: Eukaryota; Viridiplantae; Streptophyta; Magnoliopsida; Rosales; Rosaceae
Description: long non-coding RNA (MDOM_LNC015772)
Source: RNAcentral